AGUUUCUCGUGGUUUAAGAGCACUUAUUAUUUCUUGUUUUAAACUAAUAAGUAAUAUCAACAAUUCUAACUUUAGUAUUAACACUGCUUGAGAACAUUUAGCCCCCAGGCAAUUUCAUAUCCUUAUUCUAACCACUUAGAAAUUUCAGUAGAUAGAUGCUGGUUGCACUUCUGUGCAUCACAUGAUUUUCACUUGUAUAAAAGCCAAAAACACAUUUGUGUUCCUCUCUUCCUUGUGUUUUCGCCAAUGAAACUAUGUGAAUGCAAUUUCUGGCAGCCUUAUGCAACUUCAUUGCAAAAUCAGCAAUUAUCUCAACCUAUGAUCACCAUCUCAGGCAGUUUUUUUGGUUUCCUUCCCUGCAUCUGAUACCAGUUAUCAUAGAAAUGGGAGAGGAUAUUUUCAGGAAACGGGAUUUCUACUCUGCUUGAUAAUGGAACAUGCCACAGCUAUCUGCCAAAGUAAAUAAUUAAUCUUGGUUCUCUCACACGAAGAUAUCAGCGUUAAUCAUUGACUUUCUGGGUGGA
Molecule: long non-coding RNA, 524 nt
Organism: Etheostoma spectabile (orangethroat darter)
Lineage: Eukaryota; Metazoa; Chordata; Actinopteri; Perciformes; Percidae
Exons: 2
Source: RefSeq, a predicted model, not a curated record